AACGAACGCUGGCGGCAGGCCUAACACAUGCAAGUCGAGCGAACCCUUCGGGGUUAGCGGCGGACGGGUUAGUAACGCGUGGGAAUAUACCCUUUGGUACGGAAUAGCCUCGGGAAACUGAGAGUAAUACCGUAUGUGCCCUUCGGGGAAGAUUAUCGCCAAAGGAUUAGCCCGCGUUGGAUUAGAUAGUUGGUGGGGUAAUGGCCUACCAAGUCUACGAUCCAUAGCUGGUUUGAGAGGAUGAUCAGCAACACUGGGACUGAGACACGGCCCAGACUCCUACGGGAGGCAGCAGUGGGGAAUAUUGGACAAUGGGGGCAACCCUGAUCCAGCCAUGCCGCGUGUGUGAAGAAGGCCUCGGUUGUAAGUACUCUGUUGAGAGGGACGGAAA
RNAcentral lists this ribosomal RNA (391 nucleotides) under uncultured bacterium. RNAcentral's name for it is "bacterial SSU rRNA". It matches the Rfam family "Bacterial small subunit ribosomal RNA", at positions 29 to 451 of the family's 1533-position model. The record is from RNAcentral.